This 23-nucleotide unclassified non-coding RNA is filed under the name Mus musculus (house mouse). RNAcentral's name for it is "oocyte_clustered_small_RNA9504". Lineage: Eukaryota; Metazoa; Chordata; Mammalia; Rodentia; Muridae. The record is from RNAcentral.
GCCUGAGCCAGGGCCAUGACGCC